Molecule: ribosomal RNA, 363 nt
Filed under: uncultured eukaryote
Lineage: Eukaryota
Description: SSU rRNA
Rfam family: Eukaryotic small subunit ribosomal RNA
Source: RNAcentral
CCAGCAGCCGCGGUAAUUCCAGCUCCAAUAGCGUAUAUUAAUGUUGUUGCAGUUAAAAAGCUCGUAGUUGAAUUUCUGGUAGGAGCGACCCGACCUUUGGACGAAUGUCCAUUGUGAUUUGGCGUUGUCUCUGGCCAUCCUUCCUGGCUCUGUCAGGAUCUUUCACUGUAAAAAAAUUAGGGUGUUUCAAGCAAAAGUUUCUUUGGAAUAUAUUAGUAUGGGAUGAUAAGAUAGGCUCUCGAUGCUAUUUUGUUGGUUUGCACAUCAAGAGAAUGAUUAACAGGGACAGUUGGGGGUAUUCGUAUUUACAUGUCAGAGGUGAAAUUCUUGGAUUUUGGAAAGACGAACUACUGCGAAAGCAUU